GCUUAGAGUUUGAUCCUGGCUCAGGAUGAACGCUGGCGGUAUGCUUAACACAUGCAAGUCGAACGGAGUACUUCGGUACUUAGUGGCGGACGGGUGAGUAACGCGUGAGAAUCUGCCUUCAGGAUGGGGAUAACAGUGGGAAACCAUUGCUAAUACCCAAUGAGCCGAGAGGGAAAAAAUUUAUUGCCUGAAGAGGAGCUCGCGUCCGAUUAGUUAGUUGGUGGGGUAAAGGCUUACCAAGACGGCGAUCGGUAGCUGGUCUGAGAGGAUGAGCAGCCACACUGGGACUGAGACACGGCCCAGACUCCUACGGGAGGCAGCAGUGGGGAAUUUUCCGCAAUGGGCGCAAGCCUGACGGAGCAAUACCGCGUGAGGGAGGAAGGCCUUUGGGUUGUAAACCUCUUUUCUUAAGGAAGAAGAUCUGACGGUACUUAAGGAAUCAGCAUCGGCUAACUCCGUGCCAGCAGCCGCGGUAAUACGGAGGAUGCAAGCGUUAUCCGGAAUUAUUGGGCGUAAAGCGUCCGCAGGCGGCACUAUAAGUCUGCUGUCAAAGACCGCAGCUCAACUGCGGAAAGCCAGUGGAAACUGUAGAGCUAGAGUACGGUAGGGGUAGAGGGAAUUCCCAGUGUAGCGGUGAAAUGCGUAGAGAUUGGGAAGAACACCAGUGGCGAAAGCGCUCUACUGGGGCCGUAACUGACGCUCAGGGACGAAAGCUAGGGGGAGCGAAAGGGAUUAGAUACCCCUG
Molecule: ribosomal RNA, 745 nt
Filed under: uncultured bacterium
Lineage: Bacteria
Description: bacterial SSU rRNA
Rfam family: Bacterial small subunit ribosomal RNA
Source: RNAcentral